GGCGGACGGGUGAGUAACGCGUAAAGAACUUGCCCUUUAGACUGGGAUAACAGAGGGAAACUUCUGAUAAUACUGGAUAAGUUAGUAUAUCGCAUGAUAUACAAAUGAAAGCUACGGCACUAAAGGAGAGCUUUGCGUCCUAUUAGCUAGUUGGUAAGGUAAGAGCUUACCAAGGCGAUGAUAGGUAGCCGGCCUGAGAGGGUGGACGGCCACAAGGGGACUGAGAUACGGCCCUUACUCCUACGGGAGGCAGCAGAU
Molecule: ribosomal RNA, 258 nt
Filed under: uncultured Leptotrichia sp.
Lineage: Bacteria; Fusobacteriati; Fusobacteriota; Fusobacteriia; Fusobacteriales; Leptotrichiaceae
Description: partial 16S ribosomal RNA
Rfam family: Bacterial small subunit ribosomal RNA
Source: RNAcentral